ACCAGGCUAUUUCCGUCCCCCGCCCCGCUAAUACGGGGGGGCCACCCUUCAUUGAAAUAAUUGGCCUAAAGCCCCCCGGCCGUUGGUCAAUUGGAAGGAAAUACCCGGCUCCACCUGGGAGUGCUUCCGAACAGGCGGCUAGGGUUUGUUGAGGGGGCGGAUUCCAGGGCAGCCCUGAAAGCGUAAAUAUCUGUGGAAAACCGUGCAGAGGACGGCUCCUGGACAAAGACGGGCGCUCAGAUCUGAAAACCUGUGAGCAAACAGGGGGAGAUACCCCGUCGUGCACGCCGCAAACAUGUCGACAUUGAGCGGUGCCCCCGGAGCGCUGCGUCCGGAGACAACACGCUAACUCGCCAGCCUCGGAGCACUUCCCCAAAGGGCAACUCAAAUGAAAUUCGACGGGCCGCACACACGCGGAGCCCAUGUUCAUUAUGUUGCGACGCGGGAAGCCCCUUCCUACUGUCACGCCCAGAGAACUGCGCAGAGAUGUUUUUCCCUUUGGGGAACUUUGACACAGGUGGCGCAUGGCUGUCCUCAGCUCGUGUUGAGAAAUGUUGGGUUAAGUCCCGCAACGAGCGCAACCCUUAUCCUUUGUUGCCAGCGGUUCGGCCGGGAACUCAAAGGAGACUCCCAGUGAUAAACUGGAGGAAGGUGGGGAUGACGUCAAGUCAUCAUGGCCCUUACGAGUAGGGCUACACACGUGCUACAAUGGCAUAUACAAAGAGAAGCGACCUCGCGAGAGCAAGCGGACCUCAUAAAGUAUGUCGUAGUCCGGAUUGGAGUCUGCAACUCGACUCCAUGAAGUCGGAAUCGCUAGUAAUCGUGGAUCAGAAUGCCACGGUGAAUACGUUCCCGGGCCUUGUACACACCGCCCGUCACACCAUGGGAGUGGGUUGCAAAAGAAGUAGGUAGCUUAACCUUCGGGAGGGCGCUACGCACUUU
RNAcentral lists this ribosomal RNA (942 nucleotides) under Citrobacter freundii. RNAcentral's name for it is "bacterial SSU rRNA". It matches the Rfam family "Bacterial small subunit ribosomal RNA", at positions 491 to 1463 of the family's 1533-position model. Lineage: Bacteria; Pseudomonadati; Pseudomonadota; Gammaproteobacteria; Enterobacterales; Enterobacteriaceae. The record is from RNAcentral.